This 78-nucleotide non-coding RNA is filed under the name unclassified sequences. The record is from Rfam.
GAUGCGGUACAGGUUUUUGCCGUUUCUCCUGUUUCAGACUCGUCCGAAGCGGAACGGCGUCAAGACGGGUCACGCAUC